Molecule: ribosomal RNA, 253 nt
Filed under: uncultured bacterium
Lineage: Bacteria
Description: partial 16S ribosomal RNA
Rfam family: Bacterial small subunit ribosomal RNA
Source: RNAcentral
UACGAAGGGGGCUAGCGUUGUUCGGAUUUACUGGGCGUAAAGCGCACGUAGGCGGAUCGUUAAGUCGGGGGUGAAAUCCUGGAGCUCAACUCCAGAACUGCCUUCGAUACUGGCGAUCUUGAGUCCGGAAGAGGUGAGUGGAACUCCUAGUGUAGAGGUGGAAUUCGUAGAUAUCUGGAGGAACACCGGUGGCGAAGGCGGCAUCCUGGACCAUGACUGACGCUGAGGAGCGAAAGCCAGGGGAGCAAACGGG